AUUGAACGCUGGCGGCAUGCCUUACACAUGCAAGUCGAACGGUAACGGGCCUUCGGGUGCCGACGAGUGGCGAACGGGUGAGUAAUACAUCGGAACGUGCCCGAUCGUGGGGGAUAACGAGGCGAAAGCUUUGCUAAUACCGCAUACGAUCUACGGAUGAAAGCAGGGGACCGCAAGGCCUUGCGCGGACGGAGCGGCCGAUGGCAGAUUAGGUAGUUGGUGUGAUAAAAGCUUACCAAGCCGACGAUCUGUAGCUGGUCUGAGAGGAUGAUCAGCCACACUGGGACUGAGACACGGCCCAGACUCCUACGGGAGGUAGCAGUGGGGAAUUUUGGACAAUGGGCGCAAGCCUGAUCCAGCCAUGCCGCGUGCGGGAUGAAGGCCUUCGGGUUGUAAACUGCUUUUGUACGGAACGAAAAGCCUUCUUUUAAUACAGGAGGGUCAUGACGGUACCGUAAGAAUAAGCACCGGCUAACUACGUG
This 482-nucleotide ribosomal RNA is filed under the name uncultured bacterium. Its description in RNAcentral is "partial 16S ribosomal RNA". It matches the Rfam family "Bacterial small subunit ribosomal RNA", at positions 30 to 507 of the family's 1533-position model. The record is from RNAcentral.